UACCCAUGGCAAGUCGUACGAAGAAUUUAUAUUUUAAAUUUAAGUGGGCGGACGGGUGAGUCACACGUGAGAAUUUACCUUUAGGUUGGGGAUAACAACCGGAAACAGUUGCUAAUACCCGUAGUGGCCGUAACGGUUAAAGAUUAAAUUCGCCUAGAGAAAAGCUUGCGUCUGAUUAGCUAGUUGGUAAGGGUAAAGGCCUACCAAGGCGACGAUCAGUAGCUGGUUUGAGAGGACGACCAGUCACACUGGAACUGAGACACGGUCCAGACUCCUACGGGAGGCAGCAGUGGGGAAUUUUCCGCAAUGGGCGAAAGCCUGACAGAGCAAUACCGCGUGAGGGAAGAAAGCCCACAGGGUUGUAAACCUCUUUUGUCAAGGAAGAAGUUCUGACGUUACUUGACGAAUAAGCAUCGGCUAACUCCGUGCCAGCAGCCGCGGUAAGACGGGGGAUGCAAGUGUUAUCCGGAAUCACUGGGCGUAAAGCGUUUGUAGGUGGUUUAGUAAGUCUAUUAUUAAAGCUUGAAGCUUAACUUCAAAAAUGUAAUAGAAACUAUUAGACUUGAGGAUAGUAGGGGUAAAGGGAAUUUCCAGUGGAGCGGUGAAAUGCGUAGAGAUUGGAAGGACCACCGAUGGCGAAGGCACUUUACUGGGCUAUUUCUGACACUAAGAGACGAAAGCUAGGGUAGCGAAUGGGAUUAGAUACCCCAGUAG
This 714-nucleotide ribosomal RNA is filed under the name uncultured bacterium. RNAcentral describes it as "bacterial SSU rRNA". It matches the Rfam family "Bacterial small subunit ribosomal RNA", at positions 50 to 793 of the family's 1533-position model. The record is from RNAcentral.